This 77-nucleotide transfer RNA is filed under the name Sandarakinorhabdus sp. RNAcentral's name for it is "tRNA-His". It matches the Rfam family "tRNA". From Rfam's summary of the family: Transfer RNA (tRNA) molecules are approximately 80 nucleotides in length. Lineage: Bacteria; Pseudomonadati; Pseudomonadota; Alphaproteobacteria; Sphingomonadales; Sphingosinicellaceae. The record is from RNAcentral. RNAcentral also lists the same sequence under 1 other name.
GCGGUCGUAGCUCAAUUGGUUAGAGCGCCGGUUUGUGGUACCGGAGGUUGCGGGUUCAAUCCCCGUCGUCCGCCCCA